RNAcentral lists this ribosomal RNA (254 nucleotides) under uncultured bacterium. RNAcentral describes it as "partial 16S ribosomal RNA". It matches the Rfam family "Bacterial small subunit ribosomal RNA", at positions 524 to 776 of the family's 1533-position model. The record is from RNAcentral.
UACGUAGGGGGCGAGCGUUGUCCGGAUUUAUUGGGCGUAAAGAGCUCGUAGGCGGCUUGGCAAGUCGGGUGUGAAACCUCCAGGCUCAACCUGGAGACGCCACUCGAUACUGCUAUGGCUAGAGUCCGGUAGGGGACCACGGAAUUCCUGGUGUAGCGGUGAAAUGCGCAGAUAUCAGGAGGAACACCGGUGGCGAAGGCGGUGGUCUGGGCAUUAACUGACGCUGAGGAGCGAAAGCAUGGGGAGCGAACAGG